AUUGAACGCUGGCGGCAUGCUUUACACAUGCAAGUCGAACGGCAGCGCGGGCUUCGGCCUGGCGGCGAGUGGCGAACGGGUGAGUAAUGCAUCGGAACGUGCCCAGUAGUGGGGGAUAGCCCGGCGAAAGCCGGAUUAAUACCGCAUACGACCUGAGGGUGAAAGCGGGGGACCGAAAGGCCUCGCGCUAUUGGAGCGGCCGAUGUCGGAUUAGCUAGUUGGUGGGGUAAAGGCUUACCAAGGCGACGAUCCGUAGCUGGUCUGAGAGGACGACCAGCCACACUGGGACUGAGACACGGCCCAGACUCCUACGGGAGGCAGCAGUGGGGAAUUUUGGACAAUGGGGGCAACCCUGAUCCAGCCAUGCCGCGUGCGGGAAGAAGGCCUUCGGGUUGUAAAACGCUUUUGUUCGGGAAGAAAUCCUAUGGGCUAAUAACCCGGGGGGAUGACGGUACCGGAAGAAUAAGCACCGGCUAACUACGUG
Molecule: ribosomal RNA, 484 nt
Filed under: uncultured bacterium
Lineage: Bacteria
Description: partial 16S ribosomal RNA
Rfam family: Bacterial small subunit ribosomal RNA
Source: RNAcentral